Molecule: ribosomal RNA, 501 nt
Filed under: uncultured bacterium
Lineage: Bacteria
Description: partial 16S ribosomal RNA
Rfam family: Bacterial small subunit ribosomal RNA
Source: RNAcentral
AUUGAACGCUGGCGGCAUGCCUUACACAUGCAAGUCGAACGGCAGCACGGGUGCUUGCACCUGGUGGCGAGUGGCGAACGGGUGAGUAAUACAUCGGAACGUACCUUAUCGUGGGGGAUAACGCAGCGAAAGUUGCGCUAAUACCGCAUACGCCCUGAGGGGGAAAGCGGGGGACCGUAAGGCCUCGCGCGAUUAGGGCGGCCGAUGUCUGAUUAGCUUGUUGGUGAGGGAAAAGCUCACCAAGGCGAUGAUCAGUAGCUGGUCUGAGAGGACGGUCAACCACACUGGGACUGAGACACGCGCCAGGCUCCUACGGGAGGCAGCAGUGGGGAAUUUUGGACAAUGGGGGCAACCCUGAUCCAGCAAUGCCGCGUGAGUGAAGAAGGCCUUCGGGUUGUAAAGCUCUUUUGUCAGGGAAGAAACAGCAGCUCUAACACAGUCUGCGAAUGACGGUACCUGAAGAAUAAGCACCGGCUAACUACGUGCCAGCAGCCGCCGUAA